AUACGGAGGAUCCGAGCGUUAUCCGGAUUUAUUGGGUUUAAAGGGUGCGCAGGCGGCCAUUUAAGUCAGCGGUUAAAUCGUGGGGCUCAACCCCAUUCUGCCGUUGAUACUGGGUGGCUUGAUUGCGGUCGAGGUUGGCGGAAUUCGUUGUGUAGCGGUGAAAUGCAUAGAUAUGACGCAGAACACCGAUUGCGUAGGCAGCUGACCAGACCGCAAGUGACGCUCAUGCACGAAAGUGCGGGGAUCGAACAGGAAUAGAUACCCUGGUAGUCCGCACAGUAAACGAAAAAUACUGGUUUUCGGCGAUAUAAUGUCGGAGGCAAAGCGAAAGCGAUAAGUAUUCCACCUGGGGAGUACGCCGGCAACGGUGAAACUUAAAGGAAUUGACGGGG
RNAcentral lists this ribosomal RNA (392 nucleotides) under uncultured bacterium. Its description in RNAcentral is "partial 16S ribosomal RNA". It matches the Rfam family "Bacterial small subunit ribosomal RNA", at positions 523 to 918 of the family's 1533-position model. The record is from RNAcentral.